AAACGGAAAAUAAAAACAGCAGACCUAUGAAGGUCGAAGGGGAAGAAAAGCUGUAUCGAUUGUUGAGAUCUGGCGACUUGUUUAAAUUUCAUCAGCCUCACUUCUAUGAACUCUCAGAGCUGAUUACCAACUCCUACCACUGUUAACCCUCAUCCAGGAACAAGCUUAUGUCUUUAACAUUCUGAGUGGGCUUCAGCAUCCUUGCAUAUGUUCAAUUCUUAAAAACCUGUUGAAAUAAAAGAUCAGGAGACAUAGGAAGGAUGCCAGAAGAGAGCGUGGCCUCACGUGUACCAGCUCUCUGCUCUCCUUUGCCUUGGGACGUUCCAUCCCUGGAAGUUUCCCUGCCCACAUCUUUGUAGAGAGUCCAUUCUCCAAGCUUCAGUGUGUCAUCUGUGAGGACCGUGACCCACCUGGUACAUCGCCUCAGGGCAUUCAUUUCAGGCUCCUUCUAAAUGGCCAAGGUACAGUUGACUAAAUACCGUACUUCAUUUCUGGUAUGUUUGGAGAGACAUCUGUUUUUUGCAUUUGGUCUUUCACUCUUUGUUUUUCUCCGGGAGGAUUAUACUUUGUUUGUUCCUCUCAAACUUUACCCAACUGAGAGUGCUAUAGAGUGCUGUGAUUUAAAUAUCAACAGAUUUCUAGGGACAUAUGCACUCUCAGAAAUAUGUGCGUUCUCAGACCUGAGUACCCUGGUGUGGGCUUCGUGGUAUUUUAGGAAGCAUGAAUUGAGAUCUGAGGGCACUAGGUUUAUCUUGAAAGCAGAUGUAGGUAAAUUGUCUCGGCUCUGCUGUGAUCUCUAAGAUUAUGAAGGUAUCUGGAACUCAGGGGAAAAAACAUCUAUUUUAUCACAUCAUUGAAAGUAGUUUCUUACCAUUUAUUAAACAUUGGCUUAAAAUAAUGAUUUUGCCAUUUUUUUCCUGUCACAUUGCAAAUGCUUAUCUAUUGCUUUGACUAAGUUUGCAUGCCUGCAUUUCACCCUUGAAAAAGUAAAGUGUUCAGUUUUUUCUUUUUGUAGAUAGUAUUUAGAUCACCUUUAUCAAUCUUAAAAUAAGAAACCUAAUAAAAAUAACUCCAAAUUGCAAGGCAUCUCUUUAAUACAUAGAUACUUUGUAUCUUCAUUUUAGUUGAAAAGUUAAAAUUAUCUGUAGAGAAAGCAUAAGACUAGAUGAUACCUUUUAAUCUAUUGUGAGAGAUAUGUAACAUGUCAGCAGAUGACAAAAGUAGGAACUGUUUUAUAAACCUCCAAUCAUCAAAUAAGUGACAUGUUUGAGUCAAUCAAUUUAAGAGGUUCCCAGUCCACUGAUGAAACCAUUUGAAGAAAAUGUGCUGUUUGAUGUUACAGAAGCCAAAAGCUGUAUAAAUGUGUCAUCUGUUUUUCAUUUUAAUUCACUGUUUCAGAAGUAUUUACUGUGUAUUAAAAAAUCUUUUUACCCUUUCAAAUCUUUUGGACAACCUGGAAAAAUUGAGAACAGUUUAAGAUCUAUCCAUAAAAGCACAUUCUCAGC
RNAcentral lists this long non-coding RNA (1505 nucleotides) under Homo sapiens (human). RNAcentral's name for it is "HSALNT0306264". Lineage: Eukaryota; Metazoa; Chordata; Mammalia; Primates; Hominidae. The record is from RNAcentral.